Molecule: ribosomal RNA, 305 nt
Filed under: uncultured bacterium
Lineage: Bacteria
Description: bacterial SSU rRNA
Rfam family: Bacterial small subunit ribosomal RNA
Source: RNAcentral
CCUACGGGAGGCAGCAGUGGGGGAUAUUGCACAAUGGGGGGAACCCUGAUGCAGUGACGCCGCGUGGGUGAAGAAGCGCCUCGGCGCGUAAAGCCCUGUCAGCAGGGAAGAAAAUGACGGUACCUGAAGAAGAAGCCCCGGCUAACUACGUGCCAGCAGCCGCGGUAAUACGUAGGGAGCAAGCGUUAUCCGGUUUUACUGGGUGUAAAGGGCGUGUAGGCGGGCAUGCAAGCCAGAAGUGAAAUCUGGGGGCUUAACCCCCAAACUGCUUUUGGAACUGCGUGUCUUGAGUGAUGGAGAGGCAG